This 489-nucleotide ribosomal RNA is filed under the name uncultured bacterium. RNAcentral's name for it is "partial 16S ribosomal RNA". It matches the Rfam family "Bacterial small subunit ribosomal RNA", at positions 30 to 506 of the family's 1533-position model. The record is from RNAcentral.
AUUGAACGCUGGCGGCAGGCCUAACACAUGCAAGUCGAACGGUAACAGGAAGAAGCUCGCUUCUUUGCUGACGAGUGGCGGACGGGUGAGUAAUGUCUGGGAAACUGCCUGAUGGAGGGGGAUAACUACUGGAAACGGUAGCUAAUACCGCAUAACGUCGCAAGACCAAAGAGGGGGACCUUCGGGCCUCUUGCCAUCGGAUGUGCCCAGAUGGGAUUAGCUAGUAGGUGGGGUAACGGCUCACCUAGGCGACGAUCCCUAGCUGGUCUGAGAGGAUGACCAGCCACACUGGAACUGAGACACGGUCCAGACUCCUACGGGAGGCAGCAGUGGGGAAUAUUGCACAAUGGGCGCAAGCCUGAUGCAGCCAUGCCGCGUGUAUGAAGAAGGCCUUCGGGUUGUAAAGUACUUUCAGCGGGGAGGAAGGGAGUAAAGUUAAUACCUUUGCUCAUUGACGUUACCCGCAGAAGAAGCACCGGCUAACUCCGU